RNAcentral lists this long non-coding RNA (940 nucleotides) under Salmo salar (Atlantic salmon). Its description in RNAcentral is "lncRNA (ENSSSAG00000113851.1, ENSSSAG00075019061.1)". Lineage: Eukaryota; Metazoa; Chordata; Actinopteri; Salmoniformes; Salmonidae. The record is from RNAcentral.
CAAAAAGUAACUAAUGGAACUCUGAGGUUGUCCCAUUGUUUCCUAUUGGGAAAUAUAGGCUGAGCAGCGUACUCUGUUGUCAUCAAACGCUACCCCAAAAUGCCGUUUGCCCUUGGAACGCUGAGCUCCCCCAUUGUUUUCCUAUGGAGAGGCAUGCUGGUAUAUUUCGCCAAAUAUCUCGCAAUGUGUAUAUUUUGAUUUUCUCAAGUUGGACACCAUUUUAAAUCAGGAUAAUCUCCUCUUUCUAAUUACAUAAGGUUGGGUAGCGUACUCUGCUGUCAUCGAUCGCCAGACCAGAAAUAGUUAAAAGUUUCAAUUUCUUCCCUACUUCCUCAUUAUGCAGACCCUACAACAAGUGCAGCUGAAAAUUCACUCAUCAAAACCACUGCUACAGUUGCUGGCGAUCAUGGCAAUGCAGUGACUAGCCCACAGAGUUUGGCUAGGCUAGUCUCUGUCAACGGUGAAGCUAGCAGAGCCCCCCUCCCAGUACCGCCACCAGCCUCCUUGCCGCCACCCAGCUAAGCAGCAGCUGCUAGCAAUGCUAAAUCACACGGGCCAGAGCCACUUACAUCCAGAGGAGCAACCCCAGAUGACCUUGGGGUUGAGAAGCCCAACCAGGUCACAUUAGGUAAGUUUCCAGUAAGAUUGUAUUCAGGGAAGAAGCUGUCUUUUGGUAAGAAUUCAGUACAAACUGUUGCAGCCUUUUGUUUCUCCUGAUGAAAUUUCGGUCCAGCACGUCAUCAGAUUCAACCUUUACCAUUAAAGGGUUCUGUGAUUGGAAGCAUGCUUUACAGAGAGAUAAAGGACUGAACGAACAUGCCACCUCGAAAUAACACUUAACGUGAGGCUAUGGAGAGAGAGAAACGCGUAAAGAGACAGGGCAGGAAAUAUCAACACUGGUUGACACGGAUCAGCUUGCACGUCAUCGAUAUUACCUGGG